This 49-nucleotide ribosomal RNA is filed under the name Fusarium equiseti. RNAcentral describes it as "partial 28S ribosomal RNA". Lineage: Eukaryota; Fungi; Ascomycota; Sordariomycetes; Hypocreales; Nectriaceae. The record is from RNAcentral. RNAcentral also lists the same sequence under 1 other name.
UGACCUCGGAUCAGGUAGGAAUACCCGCUGAACUUAAGCAUAUCAAUAG